RNAcentral lists this long non-coding RNA (1425 nucleotides) under Cyanistes caeruleus (blue tit). RNAcentral describes it as "lncRNA (ENSCCEG00000002951.1)". The record is from RNAcentral. Lineage: Eukaryota; Metazoa; Chordata; Aves; Passeriformes; Paridae.
GAAUAAUUGGUGAAUAAUAAUUUAAAAACUAAAAAACUUUGAGAUAAAAAAAUACAUUAAUAUAAAUACAUUAACUUAUGUACAAAAAUUAGUAAAAUCUUCUUGUGCUAUAUUUCCCAAUUUUUGUCUUCCCCUCCAUCUAACAAUCAGGUUGUCAAAACAGAAAGCACCCACCCCAAAAAUAAAAGCAACCAAAAACAAAGGAAAAAACCUAAAUAGUUGUUUCCUUCAAGAUGGUAAAGCAUAAACACUAAACUAAUUAUAUCUUUAAACAUCUAAUACACUUAAUGUGCACUAUACCUGCAAAUUUCACACAUCUUUUCAUCAUUUUUCAUUUCUGUUCCUACCACUUUAACACUUGCCUGGAGUGAGUCUGAGGUUUCUGCUCUGGCCACCCAUUACUAGAGCUGUGCUGCCUAUGGCCUCUCUCACUGACUCACCUGUGACUCCUGAAAUUCGUUACAGCUGGGCAGGGGCUGGGGUAAGGGAAAGUAGUUUGGCAGUAAUUAAUGUUCUCAGUGUGUUUCUCAUUCUAUCUUGUACAUUGAAUUAGGAACAGAUACAGUUUUUUUUCCUGGCCUGGUGGUAGGAAUGUCUACAGUUCUGAUCUUACAAGUAAAUAAGUAAUUAAAAUAAAAUUUUCUUUCUUUUGAAGCUGUAAGUUUUCUUUCAUGUGUAAGUAGAAUCUGGUAUUUAACUCUGUUUUUUAACUUAAUUUGUUCAGCAGAGCUGAUUCGAGACCUUCCAACCAAGCAGGCAAAUCUGAUUUUUUCUGUUAUAAAGAUUAGGUGUUGGGUGCUGUCUGCUACAGCAACUAAAGAAGAAGAUGGAGCCAAAUGAGAGGAAUGUGAAUUGUGUCUAGACUAAUGGAUUUUGUUCUUCCUGUUGGGAUUUUGAGUGUCUCCAGUGUAUGUGUGUGCACGUGCUUGAUUUCCACUCCUGAUGCUGCUGUCACUUCCCAGUCAGUCUGGCUGAUAAAAGGAAUACUUCCAGUUUCCUUCCACCAGCUGAGUCCCAAAAUAAUAAGACAAGGCAGUGGGUGCACUGAAGGUAAGUAUUUAUUCCAAUGCACUCUUACACUUGUAGGCACCAAAAAUGGACUAGCCAGUCAUGUAAAGGAUAUUGCUUCUUAGAACCUAGCAAAUUUACUCUACAGGUGAAAAGAAGUGAAAAUACAGUUAAAUAAGAUGUGAUAAAGUCAAAGUUCUUGUUUUUUAGAUCUUUGUGUUCUUCCUUGGUGUUAUCAGGUCAGGAUCUUCUUUCUGUAAUGCCACUCCUUCCUCUGCUACACCCAUCAGUCACUCUUUAUAGGCUUUUAAGUGUUGUGUGCAAUGAAUUUCUUCAAUCCAGUCCCAGUCUUUAUUACAUUUGCCACAAAAUGCUGACCUUUGCUUUGCAUUCCCUUCUACAUGUCUUCAAACUGCC